Molecule: long non-coding RNA, 3027 nt
Organism: Alexandromys fortis (reed vole)
Lineage: Eukaryota; Metazoa; Chordata; Mammalia; Rodentia; Cricetidae
Exons: 3
Source: RefSeq, a predicted model, not a curated record
CCUCCAUGCCCAUAACAGCCCAGGGCAGCACAGAUAAUAGACAUGAACAAGGUUUCUGGUGGCAGCACGGAUGAUGGACAUCACCAUCGUUUCCAGCAGCAGGGUAUAGCUGGAUCUUGAGAUGUGGUCAGCUGGUGCUGAAGAAUCAACUGUGAUUAAGAAGAGACCAACAUCAUUGAAGCAAAGUCUUCUAGGAAGUGCUUCCUCAGGAUCAGCAAACAGAAGCUGAGUUCCAGAGGCGGCCAAGUUUGUUCCUCAUACUGACAGCUGAACUUGGUAGUCUAAGAAUCACCUGGGUGGUGCUGGUUCUGAAGGCACGAGUGCUCAUGAAGAGCAGACUAUUGGUGAAGGUUCAGCCCAGUUACAGCAAGGGGUCACAGCAGUUUUGGAGAUGCUGGAACCACGGGAUAACCACUGAGAACAGCAGCAGCAGGGGACAGGAGCCAGCUGAAGCUUAGAAGACAAGCUGUGUGUACUUCCAGAGGGCGGGGCCCAAGAAAUGACCCAAGCCCCUUGGAAGAGCCCAAAAGAUGGAACCUGACUCAUAUAACAUUGCGAGAAGCCAGUGAGUUAUGUAUGGAUGGGUGUGGAAAAUGAAAAUGUAGCCUGGAACUUCUCUGUGAGUCAGAGACUACUCUGCAAGAUUGGAAUGUGACUCCGCCCAUCACCUUCUGGUUUGUGGAUGAUACCUUCAAGAGUUAGAAGAAAGAAUUCCUGGCCCGGAUCUACUACCAGGCUGCAAAAGUUCUAAGAUACUUUAACCUUUCAUUUCUUGGGUGACUCUGGAAUUGUGUUUAAUUCUUUACAGCACAUUUGCACAGUCCUAGAACUGCCAAGGUGAUACACAUUUAUACUUAAGCUGUUUUUAUUAGAAACAUAACUUACAAACAUACUUCUCCUGUAUAGUUGUUUAGGCUGUUAUGAUUUCAUAUACUUUGUUAUAGAAUUAUGACUUACUUUUACCUAGCAUAGAUAAUUUCUUUUCAAUUCAACUUCCAGUUCAAGUCUAGGUAACAGCUUCCUUAGGGUGUCUCAUGUGUAAACAGUUGGACUUCUCAUCUGCUCAAAUGCCUGGAAUUAUUACCACCUUCUCUAAAACUUGGCCAUAGGCAAAAUCUUUGAAUAAUGUAUUCGCAUUUGGCAUGCAAACUCAAAAUCCGAGAAUUGAAGAUAGUCUUUUAAAACCGACAUAGUACUACAAGAACUUCAAACUAGCAACUUAAAAAAAAAAAAACAAAACCAAAUGUGUUCUUCCAGUAUAUCAUUAACCUAAAUAUUCAAGACAUUAGAGAUUUAUUAUAACCAUUCCUAGGAUAAUUGAUGGCCCAUUUACUGUCUUUCUUAUCCGUAGAGUUUGCUUUGAUAGUGCUCUGCUAACAAUACCUUUUUAGUAUUUUUCUCUUAUUAAUUUUUAAUGAGUUUCAUUAUGACAUUUUUAUACAAAUGAAUAAUUAUACCUUUUACAUUAUAGUUAUUGAAGAAAUUGAAAUAUAUUUUUUGUAAUGAGUUUAAUUACGACAUUUUCAUGAAAAUGACUUACACUUUUUACAUUACAAUUUUCUGAAGACAUUAAAAUAUGAAAAAGAAAUCUGGUUUUUAUAAAGUGAACUCUCAGGGAGUAUUAUCUCCAACAGUAUAGAUUAAACCCACAGUAAUACAGCAUUUGCCCCAUAAAAAUGUUGAUGUCACAGAGUCAAAAGAAGGCCAAUAAGACUUGAGAAAAGUAGCAUUUUUAAAACUUCUUAGGCUAUAAAUCUCUAUUGGAAAGAAGUCAGAAAUAUUAUUCUCUCAUAAACCUGAAGAUAAAUAUGACAGAAUGUUUUGUUAAAAAUUCACUUGCUGAGCUGGGCAGUGGUGACACUCUGUUUUAAUAUCAGAACUCAGGAGGCAGAGGCAGGAGGAUCUCUGGAUUCAAGGCAAGGCUGUUCUACAGAGUUAGUCCCAGAACAGUCAGGACUACAAACGGAAACCCUGUCUUGAAAAACCAAGAAAAGGAAACAAACGAACGAACAAACAAACAAAUAGCCCCCCCAACUCAGUUGCUUACACUGCUGUUAGAACGUCUGUAGGAGAUAAGUAUGUUUUUGCUUGUGUUUCUGUUUUUCUUUUGUAUUCUGUCAAAGUUAUAUUUAAUCCAUGGAGAUGAGCUAUCUUUGCUAUCUGAGGCUUUGUUCAUGGCUAUUUCCAUCAAGCCCACUGUUUUCCUGGUUAUACCAUCAUAAACCAAUACUUCUGUUUUAAUAAUUUGCUAAGGCAAGAGUUCUUAUUCUGUAUUUACUUUUCUGUUUUGUUUUGUUUUUGUUUUUGGUGGAACAUUUAGACAGCUGUUCUUAAAGCACAGGGGUUUUCCAAAUGGAUGCAUGUUUGUUGCUCUGCUAAAAUCAUUCACUUUAUAAAGGAAGUACCAUAGUAGCCAAAGUGCCUUUAGUCCCUUCCACAUCCUGAUAUCAAUGAGAAAACCCUUUGUCCAGUUCUACAUUAAAGGCAAACACUGCAUUUUCUUGCAAAUAUUUCAAAGCCAUUUAGUAUACGGCAAGCCCAGGACCUCUUUAAAAAUCAUAAAGAUGUUUUCCUGAGAGAAGUACAUGUGAACAGGAUGAACAAGGUCUAUGGAGUCAGAUGGUUUGGUUUGUACACCCUUUCAAACCAUCAGGGCCAUUGGGCAAUCGCUGAAACUUUCUGAACACCCAAUGUCUUGUGUGCCAUGUGAAAAUUAUGCCUAUUUCAGAGUCUUUGUAAGAUUAGGAGAGAUGAAAUUUGCCUAGCACUCAGACUUUAGGUACCCCCAUUCUUCUUGUCUAUGAUAAUUUUUCCCUUAAGUGAAAGGGAACUGAUCCAUACCAAGUUUCUUCAUGUCUGUGGUUGAAGUAUUCACAUUUUAUAUAUGCAACCUUUUCUUGGCUCAUAAUUUUUCUCAAUUACUUUUGCCCCCCUCCUGCUAUUGGUGACUGCUUUGACAUUUUACACCUAAUUAUUAAAAAAAUUUGCCUUCCAGUUGCAUUAAAAAAACUUAUUUGAUGAUUGAUC